UGAGAGGCAUUAUGAUGCUUUGAUUACGGUAGCAUCGGAACUCUCUCUCUCUCUCCUCAACGGUCCUCACUCCUCCCGUUUCAUCUCCUCUCCCUCACUUUCCACCCUCACCUUACACCGGCGGGAAGGGAGCGUGCUUCUCCAGUUGCUGAAAUCUCGCUGCGGCAGCUGAUUGGCCUUCUGCUCGGGAUCUGGUACAGCAAGAUAACAUUUGCAGAGGUCAGAGGGGAGGCCGGUGGUAGGUAGGCUUCUGCUUCUCCUCCGGCCUCGGCAGUCCGAGCAGAUUCUCUUGACCGGUGUGCUGCUCUGAUGCCGUCUUCCCCGUGUCAACUCAACACUGCACAGGUCAUUUUUAUCCAUCCAAACCCUAACUAAUAGGUGCAGUAAGAUAUUCGAUUAGCUUUGCGUGCUUCCCAUCCAAUUCUUCAUGACCCGUGAUGUUUCUCUAUACGUCUAACCCUGCACAUUGUUAAUCGAUCCAUGACUUCCGGAGUGUGUGCAAUUAGCCCGUCGUUCAUGGAAGGUACCGUGUGCAAUUAGCCCUGCUUCCAGUUUGUCAUGAUUAAUCAGAUACACAUCGAGUUAAUUAAUUCCUGAUUUCCUUGCUUCUUUGUGGUCUUCGUGUUUGGAGUGAGUGUAUACAUACGCCUGCAGAGCUCUUGGAACAAGCAAGUCAGAACAGAUUGAUUAUUAAAAUUGCAUAGAAAUCUGCAAGAACACCAAAUGGCUCGAACUCUGCUAGGUAUGAAGAUAGGUUGCGUGCAAGGAUCCUUUACAGAGAGCUUUUGUUCUAACCAAAUUCUUGGUCUAAUCCAGCAUAUGUAUACACUGUUUGUUCAGUUCUGCUUGUAGUACUGUAUCAAACUUAAAAACAAAUUGGCGAUAUCCAUCAUUUAAUUCUUUGUAUUUCUGUAUACUAAUCUUUUUUGAUUACCUUGUUGGCUUGUUCCAAUAAAACUGAACUUGAAAUAGAUUAAAAUGGUUCGCUCAUGUAGCAACUGCUUUGUCCCAACAUAGUUUCAGAUGAUUGAAUUAUGUCAUAGUAUCUUGGUCUCCAUGAUUAAAAAACUGCUUCCUUGCCUAUCCUGACAUUAUCAGUAUUGCCUUUCAGUAAACAACCAUAAAGAGAUGGACCCUGGGAAUGGUUUUCUUUCUGCUAAGCUAACUGAUGAUCUGGUGGUGGAGAUCCUCUCCCGGCUGCCGUUCAAGUCUUUUUGCCGCUUCAAAUCUGUUUGCAAGGCCUGGCUUGCCUUAUCCUCCGAUCCGCAAUACUGCAAGAAGCUUCUGAAAAUUCCAACUGGUCUUCUCUACCAACGACGUUAUCACUCUGCUAUCAAGCUCGCUAGCCUGCCCCACAAUGAUAAGGAUUUUGAUGAAGCUCUUAGUUUCCUACCACAGUAUGAGCAAUUAGAGCUGAUGGACUCUUGCAAUGGCCUAGUCCUUUGUAAGUACAAGAACAGGAACAACUAUACUCCUCUAGGUAUUUGCCGCUUUAUCGUGUGCAAUCCGGCAACACGAGAGUGGAAGAUGCUCCGGGAUACUCCUCCUAGCCAUUAUGACCCUUUUUACAAUAUGAGUAUUUUAGCCUUCAGCCCAUCAUGGUCGGCAAACUUCUAUGUCUUCAACUUUCAGUGUCUUAGUACCCUCUGUUUGGGAUUUGGCCCUGUCAAACUUCAGGUGUUCUCGUCUGACCUUUCCACUUGGUUUCUGGACAUCAUGGCUCUCUGAGACAAUGGUUUCUCAACCACAUCUGUUUAUAGAUGGAGCAUUGUAUGUGCACACAGGUUUGCAUGACAUUCUGGUACUGAAGAGCUUGGAGGAAACUAGUUCUGGCAUUCCGCCGUCUCUUCGGACUAUUAAGUUGCCGCAUGAAGACGGCGCUUUUAUGGGUAGGUUUGGCCAAUGUUGCUUCGGCCAAUCUUCGGGGGCCUUGCACUACGCAUUGCCAAAGGAGGAUGCUCGUGCGAUUCUUGUUUGGAGUCUUGAUGUUGAUGAGCCUUAUGAAUGGAGCCUCAAGUACCGCCUCAGUAUGAGCCAUGCAUUCGGAAGGGACAACCUUUGUCAGUAUGACGCACAUUCCUGGAAAUGUGACUAUGAGGUCAUCGCUCUUGACCUGGAGAACGGUGGUCUUGUCCUAUUCGAUAAACGGGCAGACAAGCUUCGUUUGUACAAUAUAAAAACUGGUGAACUUAAUGUGAUUCAACCAGAUGACCACCGCUGCCGCGUGUUGCAAGACAAUUACUACCAUUAUGUGGCAUCCUACUCAAAGCUCCCUGCUUUAAGCCUUUAACCAUGUAGUCGGUACCAUCUUUGUUUGGCUUUUGAGUGUCGCACCUCUUUAUGCUGUCAAACAAUGCAGAUACGGUUCUUCUCUCUGUUAAGUGCUAUUUAUGGAUUGUAAUCUAGGACCAUUUUUUUGUUUUCUUGAACCUAUUCCACUAGUACCAAUAUUAAUGAGGUUAGCUCUAUUCUGUCA
Molecule: long non-coding RNA, 2476 nt
Organism: Triticum aestivum (bread wheat)
Lineage: Eukaryota; Viridiplantae; Streptophyta; Magnoliopsida; Poales; Poaceae
Exons: 2
Source: RefSeq, a predicted model, not a curated record